This 23-nucleotide non-coding RNA is filed under the name Cricetulus griseus (Chinese hamster). The record is from RNAcentral. Lineage: Eukaryota; Metazoa; Chordata; Mammalia; Rodentia; Cricetidae.
CACACUUUGGACCCAAUUUAAGG